This 350-nucleotide ribosomal RNA is filed under the name uncultured bacterium. RNAcentral describes it as "bacterial SSU rRNA". It matches the Rfam family "Bacterial small subunit ribosomal RNA", at positions 355 to 702 of the family's 1533-position model. The record is from RNAcentral.
UGAGGAAUAUUGGUCAAUGGGCGCAAGCCUGAACCAGCCAUCCCGCGUGAAGGAAGACUGCCCUAUGGGUUGUAAACUUCUUUUAUGUACCAAGAAUGGCUACUACGUGUAGUAGUUUGACGGUAGUACAUGAAUAAGCAUCGGCUAACUCCGUGCCAGCAGCCGCGGUAAUACGGAGGAUGCGAGCGUUAUCCGGAUUCAUUGGGUUUAAAGGGUGCGUAGGCGGUUUCUUAAGUCAGUGGUGAAAUCCUGCGGCUCAACCGUAGAACUGCCAUUGAAACUGAGGAACUUGAAUAUAGUUGAGGUAGGCGGAAUGAGUAGUGUAGCGGUGAAAUGCUUAGAUAUUACUC